CAGUACGGUCGGAAAUCGUACGUAGAGUGUAAAGGCAAAAGAGAGCUUGAUUGCAAGACAUACAGGUCGAGCAAGGAUGAAAAUCGGACUUAGUGAUCCGGUGGUUCUGCGUGGAAGGGCCAUCGCUCAACGGAUAAAAGCUACCCUGGGGAUAACAGGCUUAUCUCCCCCAAGAGUCCACAUCGACGGGGAGGUUUGGCACCUCGAUGUCGGCUCAUCACAUCCUGGGGCUGUAGUAGGUCCCAAGGGUUGGGCUGUUCGCCCAUUAAAGUGGUACGCGAGCUGGGUUCAGAACGUCGUGAGACAGUUCGGUCCCUAUCCGUCGCAGGCGUAGGAAAUUUGAGAAGACCUGUCCUUAGUACGAGAGGACCGGGAUGGACGUACCUCUGGUGUACCAGUUGUCCUGCCAAGGGCAUGGCUGGGUAGCUAUGUACGGAAUGGAUAAGCGCUGAAAGCAUCUAAGCGCGAAGCCAACUUCAAGAUAAGAUUUCCCACCGCAAGGGUAAGACCCCAGAAAGACUAUCUGGUUGAUAGGUCGAAGGUGUAAGUGCAGCAAUGUA
RNAcentral lists this ribosomal RNA (560 nucleotides) under Clostridioides difficile. Its description in RNAcentral is "bacterial LSU rRNA". It matches the Rfam family "Bacterial large subunit ribosomal RNA", at positions 2323 to 2885 of the family's 2925-position model. Lineage: Bacteria; Bacillati; Bacillota; Clostridia; Peptostreptococcales; Peptostreptococcaceae. The record is from RNAcentral.